Ictalurus punctatus (channel catfish) is the source of this 3580-nucleotide RNA transcript. It is a transcript of the gene named scavenger receptor cysteine-rich type 1 protein M130, with no coding region annotated. The transcript is spliced from 13 exons. Lineage: Eukaryota; Metazoa; Chordata; Actinopteri; Siluriformes; Ictaluridae. The record is from RefSeq and is a predicted model, not a curated record.
CCACAUGACAUCACAACAACCAAAAAGGAAAGCACUCACACAAACAGACAGUCACCAGGUACACAUCUCCUUUUGUGUAAUUCUACACGUUCAAUUUAUGGAAUGUUUUCCAUACCCGUUACACAGGCAGUUAUUGCAGCUGUGUAGGCUAAAAAAGACAUUCGGUACAAGAACCAGAAAAUAAGGUUUUAUGCUGACUUGGCCACGAGAGUACACCAACUGAGGAAACGAUCCGAUCCAAUCCGCCAGGAGCUGCGCACUUUGGAGAUCCGACAUGGAGUGAGUCACCCUGCCAGACUGCUGGUAACACAUAAAGAACAAACCUAAACUUUUUAAACACCAACCGAAGCCUGAGAGUUUGUCAAGAAAAUCCAGGAGGAUACUGGCGGGAGUUUAAAAUAAACGGGGGCUGAGUGAGGGGACACACUUCUCUCAGUCUCUCUGGGCGAGUGGAGGUGAACACAUCGUGUACAGCGAGGAGGGAGAUGGAAAUCUGUCUGACUUUUAUUCUUCUCUCAUCCACACUCACACUCACAGCAGCUGACAGUGUGAGGUUGGUGAAUGGUGGAAGUCGCUGUGCUGGGAGAGUGGAGGUUCUUCAGGAAGGACAGUGGGGAACAGUGUGUGAUGAUGACUGGGAUAUGGACGAUGCUGCAGUGGUGUGUAGAGAGCUGCGCUGUGGGGAGGCUGUAAAUGCACUGGGUGACGAUAAUGCUCACUUUGGACCAGGAUCAGGACCAAUCUGGAUGGAUAAUGUACGCUGUAGUGGAUCAGAGUCGACACUGAAGAACUGUAGAUCACGUGGGAGGGGGGAUCAGUCCUGUAAUCAUGGUGAAGAUGCUGGAGUCACCUGCUCAGGUCACAGAAUGUCGAGACUCACUGCGGGUCCUCACCGGUGCUCUGGGAGAGUGGAGGUGUUUCAUGGAGGUUCCUGGUCCACAGUGUGUGAUGCUGACUUUGACCAGCAGGAUGCAGAGGUUGUGUGUCGAGAGCUGGGCUGUGGGAUUCCUGUGAAGGUGCUGGGAUCAGCUGCUUUUGGCCGAGGGGAGGGUCAGGUGUGGACAGAGGCGCUUCAGUGUAGAGGAAAUGAAUCUGAGAUUACCUUCUGUCCAACAUCAUCUUCACUCAAACACUCAAACUGCUCCCAUUACAACGAUGUGGGAUUAAUAUGUUCUGGUCACACAGGGGCGCGGCUGGUGAACGGACCGGACUCCUGUUCUGGUCGAGUGGAGCUCCAGUACCUCAGUGACUGGGGCACAGUUUGUGCUGUAGGCUGGGAUAUGAGAGCUGCAGAUGUUCUCUGUGCACAGCUGGAUUGUGGGAGUGCUGUGGCUGUGGUGGAGGUGGACUGGUUUGGGGAGGGGAGUGGCCACAUCUGGGCUGAUGAGUUUGAUUGUCAGGGGAAGGAGACACACCUAUCACAAUGUAACAUCUCAUCAUGGAGUCGAGCUGCAUGCUCUCAUAAACACGAUGCUGGAGUCAUCUGUAAUGGAUCAUCCGUGGCGUUUCAUGAGGGGCGAGUGCGGUUGUCUGGAGGGAGCGAGUGUCAGGGGGAGGUGGAGAUUUAUUUCAGGCAGGACUGGAGGAGAGUUCUCCUGGACUCGUGGAGUCUGUCUGAGGCGUCUGUGCUCUGCAGACAGCUGGGCUGUGGCUCCGUGCUGAACUACCGCUCCUCUCCAUCCACCACUGAACACAAACACAUGUGUGUAACGGGUUUCAGCUGCUCUGGGAGUGAAGCUCAUCUGGGGAACUGCAGCAGUGCACAACCUGUCAACUGCAGCUCCGGGGAACAGCUGUACAUCACCUGCUCAGGUAUCUUUAACCCCGCCCUCAGGUCCAUCAGGCUGGUUGGUUCUGGGGGAGACUGUGCAGGAAGGCUGGAGGUUUUCCACAGCGGCUCGUGGGGGACAGUGUGUGAUGACUCGUGGGAUAUUGAGGAUGCGCAGGUGGUGUGCAGACAGCUGCAGUGUGGAGUGGCCCUCAGUACACACAUACCAGCCUGGUUUGGUCCUGGAACUGGGUCCAUAUGGCUGAAUGAGGUGGAGUGUGAGGGGAACGAGACGUCCCUGUGGAACUGCAGAUUUCAGCUGUGUGAAGAGGGUGAAUGUGGACACCAGGAGGACGUAGGAGUCGUGUGCUCAGAGUUUAAAGAGGUCCGACUCACGGAGGGCUGUGUGGGGAAUCUGGAAGUGUUCUACAAUGGAACCUGGGGUAAUGUGUGUCACAAUCAGAUGGACGAGGAGACAGUAAACAUGGUGUGUCGAGAGCUGAACUGUGGAAGACGUGGCAGUCUGUCAAACACUGAAGCACGAGUAAAAUCUGCUCCUGACUGGCUGGAUUAUCUGAAGUGUAGGAAACACGACUCUAAUCUGUGGCAGUGUCCAUCUUCACCCUGGGGACAGAACAGAUGUGAUAAUGGUGAUGAGGUGGCUCGUAUUACCUGCACGGAUGAUGGAAAGUCUCUACGUACACAAGAAAAGUGCUCUUCAUUUCCCUCUCAGAAACACUGCUCAAAGCACUGGUCUCUCAGGCUGAGUGGAGGAGAGGGAAGCUGCUCUGGGAGGUUGGAGGUGUAUCAUAACGCUACGUGGGGCUCCGUUUGUGAUGAUCAGUGGAACAUCAGGAACGCUCAGGUGGUGUGCAGACAGCUGGGCUGUGGGUCGGCGCUGAGUGCUGAUAGGAAUGUUAGUUCUGGUCCUGGUGAAGGGACUAUCUGGCUGAACAGAGUGAAGUGUCGAGGGGAUGAGAUUCACCUGUGGGACUGUCAUCAUUCCCUGAAGAAACACACUGACUGCUCUCCUGCUGGAGUCACCUGUGCAGAUGUGUCCACUACUACACCCAUCAUCACCACCACCACCUCCACCACCACAUCAGAUAUACCUGUGUCCACCAGCACCAAAAUACAAAAAUGUCCUCGUCCUUUCCAAAGACAUGUUGUAGGCUGACUGGCAUCUCUAAAUUGUCCUUAAUGUGUGAAUAGUGUGUUGCAUUGGCUCCCAGUAAAAUUUCACAUUGAUUAUAAAAUACUACUAUUCACAUAUAAAGCACUAAACAGUCUCGUGCCACAGUACCUGAGUGAAGCCCCACAGUUAUGGAACAACCUUCCAGAAUACGAUGACGUAGACGAGAAACUUUAGGAAGACAGGGACCAUGUGACUGAGACACACCACCAAAGGCCUUUUCUCAGGAAAUUACAUUUAAACUUCUAUGGACUCAACAAAUGAUGUCAUUAUACUUACAAAAAAAUUCAUGCAUUCUGACCCACGUUAUCUUUUUCUUCUUCUUGCUUAUCUUAUUAUUAACAAAUGGAUAUGAGAGAGCUAAAUCACUUCCAUUAUUACUUAACCAGAUGUGCUCUCCUUUCACAACACUUUCAGUGCUAUAAAUUAUAGUGAGCUUAAAUAUCACUCACACAGCUCACCUGAAAUGAUCUCAUCAAUUAUUCUAUAUAAUCAAACACCAAAAUGUCUAUAAUCUUACCUUUAAUCUUUGGAAACAGUUGAUAUUAUCAUUCUUGCUUAACCGGAACUUAUUCAUUGUGAUUUUUUUGCACGUGUGUCCUGCUAUCACAUUUAGCUAA